CGGAGGAAAAGAAACCAACAGGGAUUGCCCUAGUAACGGCGAGUGAAGCGGCAACAGCUCAAAUUUGAAAUCUGGCGCAAGCCCGAGUUGUAAUUUGUAGAGGAUGCUUCUAGGUAGCGACCGGUCUAAGUUCCUUGGAACAGGACGUCAUAGAGGGUGAGAAUCCCGUAUGUGACCGGCCCGCACCUUCUACGUAGCUCCUUCGACGAGUCGAGUUGUUUGGGAAUGCAGCUCUAAAUGGGAGGUAAAUUUCUUCUAAAGCUAAAUACCGGCCAGAGACCGAUAGCGCACAAGUAGAGUGAUCGAAAGAUGAAAAGCACUUUGGAAAGAGAGUUAAAAAGCACGUGAAAUUGUUGAAAGGGAAGCGCUUACAACCAGACUUCUGGGCGGUGUUCCGCCGGUCUUUUGACCGGUCUACUCGCCGUCCCGAGGCCAACAUCAUCUGGGACCGCUGGAUAAGACCUCAGGAAUGUAGCUCCCCUCGGGGAGUGUUAUAGCCUGUGGUGAUGCAGCGCGUCUCGGGUGAGGUCCGCGCUUCGGCAAGGAUGUUGGCGUAAUGGUUGUCAGCGGCCCGUCUUGAAACACGGACCAAGGAGUCUAACAUCUAUGCGAGUGUUCGGGUGUCAAACCCCUACGCGUAAUGAAAGUGAACGGAGGUGGGAAGGGCAACCUGCACCAUCGACCGAUCCUGAUGUCCUCGGAUGGAUUUGAGUAAGAGCAUAGCUGUUGGGACCCGAAAGAUGGUGAACUAUGCCUGAAUAGGGUGAAGCCAGAGGAAACUCUGGUGGAGGCUCGCAGCGGUUCUGACGUGCAAAUCGAUCGUCAAAUUUGGGUAUAGGGGCGAA
Molecule: ribosomal RNA, 845 nt
Filed under: Ramularia coleosporii
Lineage: Eukaryota; Fungi; Ascomycota; Dothideomycetes; Mycosphaerellales; Mycosphaerellaceae
Description: eukaryotic LSU rRNA
Rfam family: Eukaryotic large subunit ribosomal RNA
Source: RNAcentral